Molecule: non-coding RNA, 519 nt
Organism: Paramuricea clavata
Lineage: Eukaryota; Metazoa; Cnidaria; Anthozoa; Malacalcyonacea; Plexauridae
Source: the annotation of a GenBank genome assembly
GCAAAGUAAAUAUAAAAUUCGGAAAGUAGAACGAAUUCGAAAGAUCUCAACAUUAUGGUUUCCAGAAUGAUGAGUUAUAUACUAGUAUCUAUCAUAACUGCGUUUACACUGUUAAGUCCCAGCGAUUCAACUGCUAGUAAUUGUUACGGGACACAUUACAAAACUAUCAACGAUCCACGUCGAAGUACAGGCUAUGACGUUUCGUCCUCAAAUAAUACGAUAAACCAUCUUUGCGAUAGACACUUGCUACAGGACAACGCUUGGUAUCGAUUUUCAAGCGAAGCUGGCGGAGAAAUGCCAACAACAAGGCCUAAACUCGGAAGCUGUGGAACCUAUGUUCCUAUCUGGAUGAAUGGUUCCCAUCCCACCAUCGAGGAUGGAAUAGUGGCAAGAAAAGCUUGUGCCAAUGUACUAUUUGGUUGGGGUUACAGCUACAAUAUACGUGUUCGUAAUUGUAGUGGAUAUUAUAUUUACAAGUUAAAGACUCCAGCAAAUUGCGUUUUGGCGUAUUGUGCAGGU